This 135-nucleotide ribosomal RNA is filed under the name uncultured bacterium. RNAcentral's name for it is "partial 16S ribosomal RNA". It matches the Rfam family "Bacterial small subunit ribosomal RNA", at positions 355 to 507 of the family's 1533-position model. The record is from RNAcentral.
UGAGGAAUAUUCCACAAUGGGCGAAAGCCUGAUGGAGCAAUGCCGCGUGCAGGAUGAAGGCCUUCGGGUUGUAAACUGCUUUUAUAUGAGAAGACUAUGACGGUAACAUAUGAAUAAGGACCGGCUAACUACGUG